CUCACAUCUAAACCCAAGAACCGCAGUUUCUCCAAACAGCAGUGCUAACAUCAAGCGAACCUCAUCACCUUUGGGGGCUAUGCUGUGCCCCUCAGAGUGAUGUGGAGGUUCUUCACUC
RNAcentral lists this small nucleolar RNA (118 nucleotides) under Dasypus novemcinctus (nine-banded armadillo). RNAcentral describes it as "Small nucleolar RNA SNORA68 (ENSDNOG00000029565.2)". It matches the Rfam family "Small nucleolar RNA SNORA68". Rfam says of the family: U68 is a member of the H/ACA class of small nucleolar RNAs (snoRNAs) which act as guides in the the modification of uridines to pseudouridines. Lineage: Eukaryota; Metazoa; Chordata; Mammalia; Cingulata; Dasypodidae. The record is from RNAcentral.